GAUAGUACCUUACUACUUGGAUAACCGUGGUAAUUCUAGAGCUAAUACAUGCUUAAAACCCCAACUUCGGGAGGGGUGUAUUUAUUAGAUAAAAAACCAACGCCCUUCGGGGCUUCUUGGUGAUUCAUGAUAACUUUACGGAUCGCAUGGCCUUGCGCCGGCGACGGUUCAUUCAAAUUUCUGCCCUAUCAACUUUCGAUGGUAAGGUAUUGGCUUACCAUGGUUUCAACGGGUAACGGGGAAUUAGGGUUCGAUUCCGGAGAGGGAGCCUGAGAAACGGCUACCACAUCCAAGGAAGGCAGCAGGCGCGCAAAUUACCCAAUCCCGACACGGGGAGGUAGUGACAAUAAAUACUGAUACAGGGCUCUUUUGGGUCUUGUAAUUGGAAUGAGUACAAUUUAAACCUCUUAACGAGGAACAAUUGGAGGGCAAGUCUGGUGCCAGCAGCCGCGGUAAUUCCAGCUCCAAUAGCGUAUAUUAAAGUUGUUGCAGUUAAAAAGCUCGUAGUUGAAACUUGGGUCUGGCUGGCAGGUCCGCCUCACCGCGUGUACUUGUCCGGCCGGGCCUUCCUUCUGGAGAACCUCAUGCCCUUCACUGGGCGUGUUGGGGACCAGGACUUUUACUUUGAAAAAAUUAGAGUGUUCAAAGCAGGCCUUUGCUCGAAUACGUUAGCAUGGAAUAAUAGAAUAGGACGUGCGGUCCUAUUUUGUUGGUUUCUAGGACCGCCGUAAUGAUUAAUAGGGACAGUCGGGGGCAUCAGUAUUCAAUUGUCAGAGGUGAAAUUCUUGGAUUUAUUGAAGACUAACUACUGCGAAAGCAUUUGCCAAGGAUGUUUUCAUUAAUCAGUGAACGAAAGUUAGGGGAUCGAAGACGAUCAGAUACCGUCGUAGUCUUAACCGUAAACUAUGCCGACUAGGGAUCGGGCGAUGUUCUUUUUCUGACUCGCUC
RNAcentral lists this ribosomal RNA (948 nucleotides) under Camarosporomyces flavigenus. RNAcentral describes it as "SSU rRNA". It matches the Rfam family "Eukaryotic small subunit ribosomal RNA", at positions 123 to 1081 of the family's 1831-position model. Lineage: Eukaryota; Fungi; Ascomycota; Dothideomycetes; Pleosporales; Coniothyriaceae. The record is from RNAcentral.